Molecule: long non-coding RNA, 4064 nt
Organism: Mirounga angustirostris (Northern elephant seal)
Lineage: Eukaryota; Metazoa; Chordata; Mammalia; Carnivora; Phocidae
Exons: 3
Source: RefSeq, a predicted model, not a curated record
UCUUCUAUAUGUUUAUUCGUUGCUACUAAUACUAUUUCUAACUCCUAGCACCUUAAAAACAGCAGGAAAGAGAAGUCUGUAACUCCUCUCCUCGACACUUAAGCGUCUGGAGGGCAGUGACUGAAUCCGGACAGAGCUGGCUGGUGUAUUCAAGACACUGAUACACACAUGGUGCACAUUUUGGCAGUGAGUGGAUGCUUUUACAUGAUGAAAUCACGGGGGUGAAAUCAGGCAUUUGUGUGAAGUUCAUGAGCUUUCACUCCAUUGGCUUCAGUAGUUGGGAAAUAGCUGCAUGUGGAUGCCAUAGAAAGCCUCCUUCAACCCCAUUUUAUCGUAGUAAUGGGAAAUUCAAAGCACGUUUCUCAACAGGAAGGAACUCCGGCUGGCGGCAGUUCCCGUGCAGCCACUAGAUGGCACCAUCUCGCCGGAUGUGAUCAAGCUCCGCAGAGAGGAGAAUGACUCUCACUAAAUAACUUCAUCAGAUACUUCAGGAGCUGUCGUUUGCUUCUUUCUUUCCCCCACCUCUAGAAUUUUCCUGUGUGUUCCAGAUCAUGUAAAUACAGAUGUGCCAGAGUCAGUCAUUCAAAUCAACUGUUUGGUGACUCACACCGCGCCGUGUAACAGAACAUUUCCCUUUGUUUUCAGUUCAAGUAUUUUUUUUUUUUAAGAUUUUAUUUAUUUAUUUAAGAGAGAGAGAACGAGAGACAGAGAGCACGAGAGGGAAGAGGGUCAGAGGGAGAAGCAGACCCCCUGCUGAGCAGGGAGCCCGAUGCGGGACUCGAUCCCGGGACUCCAGGAUCGUGACCUGAGCCGAAGGCAGUCGCUUAACCAACUGAGCCACCCAGGCGCCCUCAGUUCAAGUAUUUUGACAAUUCCUUUGUCACACAUUCCUCUGUCUUUCCUACAGUUACAUCAGUGGACGGGAUUGCUUUUCUGUUGUACUCAGACCGAAGGACAGGGAAAUGACUAUCUUCAAUGCACUGGCAAUUCUUUUCCAGUACAUCAAUUUCCUAGCCCUCUUUAAGAUCUCACUCAUCUGAUUUUGCACUGUGUUAGGGAGCUCCAGCUAUUGGAAUGAUGUUACGGAAAAGAAAUGUCCCAAGACACAAAGUAGACCCGGCUUUGUCUUUGUUUUUUGAAGAACAAAACACAACAAAACAAAAAUGAGAGGAAACGUUUAUUCACAGUCAGAAGCUGAACCAGCAAGACCAGGCAUGUUAGUAAGACUGCGUGACCUGUGAUCACUUGAGGUGGGCCCCCUCCCCGUCCCCCCGGCCCCAGACAGCACCCCCUCUAAAGCCAGACACACGCGGGCCCCCAGAGGAAAAUCUAGCAAGUCCAGAGCCAAUAGAAGAAACUAAUGCAAGACGCUUAGGGGCGAGAAGAGAGAAAUGAGACUCACUUAGUCUAAGGUCACAGGGUUGCACAUGCUGCCAGUGUGAGGCUCGUCCUGCAGAAGUACAAAGCUGGAACCACCCGCAGGCUUGGCGCUGGAGGCUGGGAGUUCCACCUCUUGGCUGGGGCCCUGUGGCUGUCUUGAGAAAUUCUUGAGUUUGGGAUCUCACAGAAUCUGAAGAAGUGGCCGCCCUGAGGUGGUGGCAGCCCCUGCAGUGGGAGGUGUUGAGGAAGGGGCAGCAGACCCGACCCAAGAAGGUGGAAGGCGUAUGGGUUGGCUGUGGGUCUCUCAGGAUCCACACCCUCAUUCAAGGAUCCAGGCUCUUCCUUGCUGGUGGUUCUGCCAUCUUCUGGGGCUUUCGUUUCCUCCACCAAUGCUUUGCAUCCUAUCAGCCAGGGAGAGAAAAGAAUGGAAAAAUUAUCCUCCACUUAAGUCGGGAGGUGACAUCCACCACAUCUGCUGGCACUCCGCCAUUGAGCACUGUUCCCAGGAACCCACGCCAGGAAGAAGAGAAGCUGGACAUUGGGCGUAAAAUAUUCUGGUAUUUACUACAUCUAUACACCAGCAAUAUAGAGUUUGAUUCAUAUGCCGAAGCGCUAACCCCCAGUAUCUCCGAAUGUGAUGGUAUCUGGAGACAAGGCCUUUAAAGAGGUGAUGAAGUCACAAAGAAGCCAUGAGAGUGGGACCUAAUCGAAUCUGACUGGUGUCCUCAUAUGAGAAAUUCUGGAUACACAAUGAGACAUUCGGUGCACAUGCACAGGAAGGACCAUGUAAGGACCCAACAAGAAGGUGGCCAUCUGCAAGCCAAGGAGAGAGGCCUCAAAAGGAACCCAACCCAUCCAGACCACACCUUGAUCUUGGACCUUCAGUCUCCAGAACUGUGAGAAGAUAAAUGUCUGCUGUGGAAGCCACUGAGGCUGUGGUAUUUUGUUAUGUCAGCCCUAGGAAGCUAGAACACCCCUCCCUAUUCUGCCCCUCUGGCCUCCGCUCUCCUCACCACACUUUCUUGUGUCUUCCUUUCCGCAUCAGCUCCUAGUCCAGCCGCCGCCCCUGUGUUCACGCCCUGUGGUCUACCAGCUGCUGAUGUCCCCGUGGUGGCCAUGCUCCUUGCCAGAGCUGUAUGGGUUCUAGACUGUUGUUUCACCUACUGUUUCUGUGAUGGACCAAAUGUGUCUCCCCCACCCCCAAAUUCAUGUUGAAGUCUUACCCCCACGAUGUGAUAGUAUUAGGAUAGUGUUAGGGCCUUUGGGAGGUAAUUUGGUUUGGAUGAGGUCCUGAGGAUGGAGACCUUUUAAAGGUCAUGAGAGAGCUUGCCUCCCCUCUCUGCUCUCUGCCAUGUGGGGAUGCCAGGAGAAGUUGGCAGUCUGCAACCCGAGAGAAGGAUCUCUCCAGAACUUGACCACAACGGAUCCCUGAUCUUAGACAUUCAGCACCCGGACCCUGAGAAAUAAAGGUCUGUUCUUUAUAAGCCAUCCAGUUUGGGGUAUUUUGUUAUAGCAGCUCAUACUGACUAAGGCACUCCCCAACUUUGACGCAGCCUGACUCUGUCUUCAGAGACAACCAAGGAAUCUGUGUUCGAGCGGUGUGACAUGGUUACCCAGAGGCAGGGUGUGGUGAAUCACUUGGGGCACCUGUUUAAGAUUCAGCUCCCCAGGCUCCACAGGCCACUCUGAGCUGUAGCCGUGGGGUGAGGCUGGUGAUUCUGAGGCAAAAGGAUCUCCCUGGCCCCGGGAGAAACUUGUAGCAGGGAAGCACCCUCCCUUCCACAUGCCCCACCUUUUGAGGGGCGGCUCUCCUUCCCAGAGUACUCUCGUCCGUGUUCCAAGUACCUCUCACACUUGCCAUAAUUACUGCUUCCUUCUCUCCAGAUCAGGUGGCCUUCUGCCCCACAGUGUAAUUCUCACACCCUUUCUCACUUACAGUGCUCUGUUCUCCUCAGGGCCCAGGCAAACCAGGGGAGAAGGCUCAGACAACAUCCAACUCCACUCAGGGCCACUCAAGCCUCAAAUUAGGGCUCUGAUUCAGUUGACAGCCCCAGGCUGUGCCCUAGAGCCCGGAACAGGGAGGCACCAGCCCUGCCCUGGGGGGACUUAGUUGUUAGUAGGAAAUGAGACACAGAAGCAGAUUAUUCCAAUAUCCUAUGGAAAGAGCUGAAAAGAAGUACGAACUGGGUCCCUUGGGAGCGCAGAUCAAGGGCCUUUUGCCCAACAUGCCCAACGUUCCGAGAAGUUUCCUGAUGCAGGCAACAUCUGACACGGCUGUGAAGAGCUAGGAUUAGUCUAGAUCGGGAACUGGCAAACUACAUACCAUGGGCCAAAUCCAGGCAAUUGGAGGUUUUUAUACAACCCACGGACAAGAAUAGUUUUUACAUUUUUAAAAAAAGAUUUUAUUUAUUUAUUUGAGAGAGAGCAUGAGCAGGGGGCAGAGGGGAUGUUCAGAAGGAAGAGGGAGAAGCAGACUCCCCACUGAGCAGGAAGCCCGACAUGGGACUCGAUCCCAGGCACCUGAGAUCACGACCUGAGCCGAAGGCUUAACCGACUGAGUCACCCAGGCACCCCUUUGCAUGUUUAAAUAAUUGGAAAAAAAUCAAGAGAACAAUAAUAUUUCACAACUACAAGAAAAUGAUAUGGAAUUCUAAUUCUCUGUGUCUAUAAAUAAAAUUUUAUUG